UGCAAAAUUUGGAGACGCACCCUAAAAGGUGCCGGGGCUUCUCCCGUUUUAAGAGAGACGGGAGAAGG
RNAcentral lists this transfer RNA (68 nucleotides) under Cyrtodactylus intermedius. RNAcentral's name for it is "tRNA-Cys". Lineage: Eukaryota; Metazoa; Chordata; Lepidosauria; Squamata; Gekkonidae. The record is from RNAcentral.